RNAcentral lists this ribosomal RNA (742 nucleotides) under Streptomyces luteosporeus. RNAcentral describes it as "bacterial SSU rRNA". It matches the Rfam family "Bacterial small subunit ribosomal RNA", at positions 1 to 758 of the family's 1533-position model. Lineage: Bacteria; Bacillati; Actinomycetota; Actinomycetes; Kitasatosporales; Streptomycetaceae. The record is from RNAcentral.
UGACCUAGAGUUUUUAAACUGACUCAGGACGAACGCUGGCGGCGUGCUUAACACAUGCAAGUCGAACGAUGAAGCCCUUCGGGGUGGAUUAGUGGCGAGCGGGUGAGUAACACGUGGGCAAUCUGCCCUGCACUCUGGGACAAGCCCUGGAAACGGGGUCUAAUACCGGAUAUGACCUUGGAAGGCAUCUUUGAAGGUGGAAAGCUCCGGCGGUGCAGGAUGAGCCCGCGGCCUAUCAGCUUGUUGGUGGGGUGAUGGCCUACCAAGGCGACGACGGGUAGCCGGCCUGAGAGGGCGACCGGCCACCCUGGGACUGAGACACGGCCCAGACUCCUACGGGAGGCAGCAGUGGGGAAUAUUGCACAAUGGGCGAAAGCCUGAUGCAGCGACGCCGCGUGAGGGAUGCCGGCCUUCGGGUUGUAAACCUCUUUCAGCAGGGAAGAAGCGAAAGUGACGGUACCUGCAGAAGAAGCGCCGGCUAACUACGUGCCAGCAGCCGCGGUAAUACGUAGGGCGCAAGCGUUGUCCGGAAUUAUUGGGCGUAAAGAGCUCGUAGGCGGCUUGUCGCGUCGGAUGUGAAAUCCCGGGGCUUAACCCCGGGUCUGCAUUCGAUACGGGCAGGCUAGAGUUCGGUAGGGGAGAUCGGAAUUCCUGGUGUAGCGGUGAAAUGCGCAGAUAUCAGGAGGAACACCGGUGGCGAAGGCGGAUCUCUGGGCUCGAUACUGACGCUGAUGACGCGAAC